CCUACGGGGGACAGCAGUGAGGAAUAUUGGUCAAUGGACGAGAGUCUGAACCAGCCAAGUAGCGUGAAGGAUGACUGCCCUAUGGGUUGUAAACUUCUUUUAUAUGGGAAUAAAAUGUUCCACGUGUGGGAUUUUGUAUGUACCAUAUGAAUAAGGAUCGGCUAACUCCGUGCCAGCAGCCGCGGUAAUACGGAGGAUCCGAGCGUUAUCCGGAUUUAUUGGGUUUAAAGGGAGCGUAGGUGGAUUGUUAAGUCAGUUGUGAAAGUUUGCGGCUCAACCGUAAAAUUGCAGUUGAAACUGGCAGUCUUGAGUACAGUAGAGGUGGGCGGAAUUCGUGGUGUAGCGGUGAAAUGCUUAGAUAUCACGAAGAACUCCGAUUGCGAAGGCAGUUCACUGGACUGCAACUGACACUGAGGCUCGAAAGUGUGGGUAUCAAACAGGAUUAGAUACCCGGGUAGUA
This 460-nucleotide ribosomal RNA is filed under the name uncultured bacterium. Its description in RNAcentral is "partial 16S ribosomal RNA". It matches the Rfam family "Bacterial small subunit ribosomal RNA", at positions 338 to 795 of the family's 1533-position model. The record is from RNAcentral.